Molecule: long non-coding RNA, 2001 nt
Organism: Neofelis nebulosa (Clouded leopard)
Lineage: Eukaryota; Metazoa; Chordata; Mammalia; Carnivora; Felidae
Exons: 2
Source: RefSeq, a predicted model, not a curated record
GAGCUGAAUAUCCAACCCCGGGGCCAUUCCCUGGGAUCACACUCUGAGAUCCUGACACAGGGAAGCUUCCCCUGGGAAUGGGAGGUGGGAGGGAACUGAGCGCUCUGGGGGACUGUGGGCUGGGUUUAAGGGGGAAAAUUCCUAAAGCCUUCUCCCAAUACAUUGUCUGUGAAGUGUUGACUCAUCAAAUCCUCCUAACAUCUACGUUCCUGGCACCGUGCUAGUCCCGGGAAUCAGUGGUCAACAGCCCCGCGCCCGGGGUGGCUGGGGAGACAGACAACACAGGAGCACAAAUAAACGUGCUUUCUUGCAGGAGGACGGGGCAGGGGCGACCCGUGCAGCGCCCGGCCGAUCGAUCGCCGGAGUCGGCUUCCUCCCUUCAGUCCGCUCGGGCCGGGCCCAGCGCCGCCCAGCACCGGCAGCCAGAAGGAAUGCGUUGAGCGACGCUUGCAUUCCAAGCACGCGGUUCUGCUCUCCCAGGAGCCGGUUCCCGGACCGCCCCAGGCCCUCCCGGGGCAGCCAGGGCCUCUCCAGGCCUCCGGGGGCCUCCUGCCCUGCCUUACCCACCCCCUGCCGGAGCGCCGCCCAGGGGGGCGAAGGGAGGGCCUGACCGGAGGGAGCGAGCUAACCUGUGUAGGGGGGGACGCUGGGUGCCAGCAGGUGCCCUUCCAGCAGCCCCACCAGGGACUUGCCCGGGACUGCAACGUGGUCUAGAAGGACCGGGGCAAGGCGGCCCCAGGGGCCUCAGGAAUCCCAAGGAUCCUGUUUUUCUGUUGCAGAAAAAAACCAAACAUUUCAAAUAAAAAUCCUAAGGUUGGCAUUUAGGGGCCCAACCAACCCUUCCAAUCAGGUUUCUGGUAACUUUGUCUUCUUUUCUCCUCCCUGCUGAAGUCCUUGUCUUAGGGUCUGUGACUGACGGCGCCCGUCCCAGAGCAGCACCAGGUGGCAAUCAACACUCCAAGGUUGGCUUGACGCUUGACCAGCAUCCUGCCCUCGUUUCCUGAACACCUGCUGUGCAAGGCUCUGGGUGGUUCUGCAAGAUGAAUCAUUUAAGCAGUCACUUACUCAACAAACCUUUUUUUGAGCACUUGCUACUUUGUAUGGGCUUAUUUAUUUAUAGCAUGCCUUGUUCCAGAAAACACAUAACAGAACUUCUGUAUUUGAGAGACUAAAAUUUUAAAGGUGUGGUCACGGGACGAGUGACAAAUGGAAAACAGAAGUUGAAAAGGUCAGAAGAGCCCAGGAAUGAAACAGCGAUCCAAAGUACAGGCCUUGAGGUCCUACGUGGUACAGAGACAGGCUACAGGUUGUCCUCUGAGCUUUCCAGCAGCCAAAACCAGAUCCCACGCCGUUCGGGAUCCAUGAACCAGUUGCAAGAGGAGAAACAUGACUCACGUAGGUCCCAGGACCAGAGAGGCCUUUUCCCGGUGCGUUCGCAGAAGAGACAGAGCAUCAUCAAACAUAGGGAGCGAUGUCCACAACGCUGCACAUACAACACAGGUGUCAGGGGACCUUUCCCGUAGGCCCUCCAUGCUGGCCCAAGUCCUGCAGCCUUUCUGCAGCAGGGAGAGGAUGACAGCACAGGGCAAGCAUGCCUCACCCCGGCUUAAUCCAUCUGCAGUGUUUGUAGGAAACAUUUACAGCAAACUUGCAGUCAACUGGCUAAAUGCAGUCCUCGGGUGAGCUUUGUUUGGCCUGAGAAGGAUAUUUAAAUUGAUUGGAUUACAAGGGGGUACAUGAAUCCUGAUGUUCAUACCAGCGUUAUCAACAAUAGGCAAAUCACAGGGGCACCCGGGGGCUCAGUCGGUUGAGCAUCUGACUUCAGCCCAGGUCAUGAUCUCAUGUUCAUGAGUUCGACCCCCACGUCCGGCUCUGUGCUGACAGCUCAGAGCCUGGAGCCUGCUUCGGAGUCUGUGUCUCCCUCUCUCUCUCUCUCUGUCUCUGCCCCUCCUCCACUUGUGCUCUGUCUCUCUCUCUCUCCCUCUCUCUCAAAAAUAAAUA